GCCAUUUGAAACCUUAAUGUCAAAAUUUAGACAAACAUUGUUGCCUAGAGAUUCUGAAUUCUCCAACUCCAAGUUAUAGGCAUAGAUUGGUCCAUUUAAUCUAAGUUUUACUAUUCAUAGUUCAUUGAAUUCACUAUAAUUCUAAAUUCACUGAACAAACCUGUUACCUUCUCUUUCAUGUGGGUUUAGUGGGCUCUCUCAUUCUCAGAGGUUUGUGUGC
Molecule: non-coding RNA, 220 nt
Organism: Pelobates cultripes (western spadefoot toad)
Lineage: Eukaryota; Metazoa; Chordata; Amphibia; Anura; Pelobatidae
Source: the annotation of a GenBank genome assembly